AAAACUAAGAAAGUUCAAAUGAAAGAAAUUGACUGUUAAGUCUAAUUGUUGAAUGUUGUCAUUGUGGUUCUUAAAUUUGAGAGUCUUAGUUCAAUCUAUAGGAUCAAGACAUUCCUUUGUCUCUGACCACCUCUCCAGCUACUCUGUGCUGGGGGAGGUUUUAUUGUAGACACAUCUGUUGUGAAGAUUCUGUUUGUUGUUUGGUAAGCUUCCUGCCCUUUGUAUGGCUUCACUGUGUUGUGCAUGGUGAACCAAUACAGGAAUUGAACCAUAUAUUGGGUUUGGGGGAGAUUUCCAUUUUAUGACUAAGGAUGUUGUUAGAAACAGUUGGAAGUCACGCACAAAGAGAGACACACAUUCUCACACACUCACUCAGACACACACACAUUCUCACAUGCAUACACACACACACAAACACACACACAAGUUCUUGCACAUGCAUAUGGGUGCUUACACAUACACACUAAUAGUGCCUUGUCUUAGAACCAUUGGGGGGUUUUACGGUGGGAGGUGCUUGUGUUGUGUUGUACUGUGUAAACUGUAACUGUCAUGUCCAUAAAAAGGCUAUGAGGACAGCUGCUCUUUGAAGGAUUUAGGCUUCAAGAGCUGGUUCUUGACCAAAGCUUCCCUCGUUAGAAACGGAUGAAGAUGAUCUCUUAUGUUUUGCAUUCUUCAUGAGGAAUAAGUCUCUAAACUAGCGGGGCAUGUGGAAACACAGACCCAACAUUGAUAUAUAUCCAUAUCUGUAAUUUUGAUACAAUAUCAGUUUGGUAAAAAAGAUAUUUCUAUAACUUUAAUAAUACAGUAACAAGUACAACUACUAAACACUACUGCGUCCUAAGGGAACAAAGAAUAAAAUGUAACAGGGAUAACAUUUUAGAGAAUUAAAAUCCCUCAAAGGAAAAAACAUAAACUUGAUAUGCAUAUCUAUACAUGCAGGUUCCUGAAUGUAACAUUCAGGAUUAUUCACUGCAGCUCCAGAAAUCAGAGCUACCUCAUCAGAUCCAAGUGUGACAUCAGCUGACACUCUUUACAGGAGAUUCCAUGUGAACUCUGUGGAGCCUGAUCUCCAAGGUUUUUAAGUCCGACCCUGAAACCAGAAGAGGAUCUUUCUCUCUCUUCAGAUUCAGUGUGAUCCAGUGAUUUCAGUCCUGCAUGAUCAGGCUGAUGUUUGCACAGAGCAGAUAAUGAAGUGAAUGUUUUUGCACAGCUGUACACCUUAAUUCCUGAGUGGGUAACUAGAUGCUUCUGUAAGUUGCUACUUUGAGAAAAGGCUUUACCACACAACUCACAGAUGUAAGGUUUAAAUCCACUGUGGAUGAGUUGGUGUUUUUUUAAACCUCCAGCCUGGGUAAAAGACUUUCCACACAAGUCACAGCUGUAAGGUUUAAAUCCACUGUGGAUGAGUUGGUGUGUUUUUAAGUCUCCAGCCUGGGAAAAAGACUUUCCACACAACUCACAGCUGUAUGCUUUAACUCCACUGUGGAUGAGUUGGUGUCUUUUUAAGCUGUGAGCCAAGGAAAAAAACUUUCCACACAAGUCACAGCUGUAAGGUUUAACUCCACUGUGGAUGAUUUGGUGUGUUUUUAAGUGUCCAGCCUGGGAAAAACACUUUCCACACAACUCACAGCUGUAUGCUUUAACUCCACUGUGGAUGAGUUGGUGAUUUUUUAAGCUGUGAGCCAGGGUAAAAGACUUUCCACACAAGUCACAGCUGUAACGUUUAACUCCACUGUGGAUGAGUUGGUGUGUUUUUAAGUUUCCAGCCCAGGCAAAAGACUUUCCACACAGGUCACAGCUGUACGGUUUAAAUCCACUGUGGAUGAGUUGGUGUUUUUUUAAGUCUCCAGCCUGGGUAAAAGACUUUCCACACAAGUCACAGCUGUACGGUUUAACUCCACUGUGGAUGAGUUGGUGUUUUUUUAAGUCUCCAGCCUGGGUAAAAGACUUUCCACACAAGUCACAGCUGUAAGGUUUAACUCCACUGUGGAUGAGUUGGUGUGUUUUUAAGCCUCCAGUAUGCGUAAAAGACUUUCCACACAAGUCACAGCUGUACGCUUUAAAUCCACUGUGGAUGAGUUGGUGUUUUUUUAAGUCUCCAGCCUGGGUAAAAGACUUUCCACACAAGUCACAGCUGUAAGGUUUAACUCCACUGUGGAUGAGUUGGUGUGUUUUUAAGUGUCCAGCCAGGGUAAAAGACUUUCCACACAAGUCACAGCUGUAAGGUUUAACUCCACUGUGGAUGAGUUGGUGUGUUUUUAAGUUCUGAGCCUGGGUAAAAGACUUUCCACACAAGUCACAGCUGUAAGGUUUAACUCCACUGUGGAUGAGUUGGUGUCUUUUUAAGCCGCCAGCCUGGACAAAAGACUUUCCACACUCAACACAGCUGUAUGUUUUCUCUCCCUUUCUUCUGUGAGGUUUGUCGGCCUCCUGAAAGCGCUGACUUCUCACUCCAUGUUGGUCCUGCAGUGACAGACAUACAAACAGAGGCAGUGAGUGAAAUGCAGUCGUGGAACAAACAGAAACUCUCUCCAUCAGUGGAAUCAAACAUGUCAAAAAACACAUUGUAGGUGUGUUACCAUCACCUUCUAGAGAAAUUAUCACAUUUCAAUGAUGUGGUACAAUGAGAGUUGUAAUGAAAAAUACAUAUUGAAGAAAUAUUGAUCAGCUGAGAAAAUCUUUUACUUAGGGCUGGGCAAUAUAUCGAGUUUUUUU
Long non-coding RNA from Oreochromis aureus, 2715 nucleotides. Lineage: Eukaryota; Metazoa; Chordata; Actinopteri; Cichliformes; Cichlidae. The record is from Ensembl.